Molecule: long non-coding RNA, 2455 nt
Organism: Anser brachyrhynchus (Pink-footed goose)
Lineage: Eukaryota; Metazoa; Chordata; Aves; Anseriformes; Anatidae
Source: Ensembl
UGGAAACAAAAUUCAAAGUGUCAUUACAACCUUCAAACUGUAAAUUCUGAGUGCCAGCUCACUGUAAAUGUUGCUUUGACCCUGUGAAACCUCUGAGAUAAUUACCAAAAAGUAAGGUGGAAGAUUCAGGAAAUAUAGAGAACUUUUGAAAUGCAUCUCUGAAAUGACAAAGGAUCCUCUAAAAAUGGGUUUGUAAUUUGAGCAAAGGGAGGAGUGGAAAAAGCGUGAAAAUGAGAGAGGAGGAAGGUGGCAGCUAAACUUACAAUGCAAAGGAAGUGGCGUACAUCAUUUAUUUGAGAAUUAAAGAAGUAUUUCACACACCUGUAUGUUUUGUGGCAGAGGUGGCUCACAAUAAUUAGAGAUCUUUGUGAUUCUUUUCUGAGAAUGACUACAAAACUACUGCUCCAAAUGCACAUGUUUGACAAAAUGCAUGAACCCAUUUAUCACAGAUUGAAAUCCCAGACGCCCUCAAUACCAUCUCAAGUCAGCAAAAGUGAUUGCCAACCUCCCCUGGGUCAAAAAAAGGCCCAUUAGAAGCAUUGCUCUCCUACCCAUCUGCUGAAACUGUUACUGGGGCAGCUAAUUAUGUUUCACUCUUUCACUUCCAGAACAAAAUACAUCUCUCAGUGUCUAGAUCAUUGAUUACAUUAGCUGGAAAUAUUUGCUGUAAUCAUAGACAGUGAACUUCACCCUGAAAAUAGAGGCAACAAGCUUUCCACUUUUUUACUUUGUAAAACUGUUUAGAACAGGGGAGAAAACAGGGACAGCAAAUGUACUGCAGGAGCAAUUUCAGCUUAUUGAAAAUAUCCAAGUGGAGACAACAUGGAACCAGAAAUUCUCUGAAGUCAUUAUCAUCGGAAAAGGUCUUAAACCAGAAUAAUACAUUCACAUAUGCCUUUUCUCUUUCUCAGAAAUAUAUUCUUUUUGGAUUCAUAAAGCUGUUAUUUUCUUUUUAUUGCCACUCCCACAGUUUUGUUGAUGGUUUGGUUUUGCAUCAUCUGAAGGAGUUUUAAGCAAACUAAUGGAAAAGGGCAAGAGACCAAAGACAAUUUUUUCUAGGAAGAAAAUUUUAUGUACCUUUCCCUAGACUCUACUAUUUCAAGUUGAACUUAUAUGUGAUGCUCUUGAAAUUCUUCCAGACAAAACUAGAGAAGGUCCUGAGGAUUGCUCGUAAAUGCUUUUUUUGAAUUGUGUCAGAAGUGGCUGAAACAAUUUAGUUACUGUGUACAAGCACCAUAACCUUUAUGGCGUUGGAAAGUUGCUUUUUGUGAGCUGGGUGGCCAAAAAUGUGCUAAAGUUGGCCCCACUUCAGUUAGGGAUGACUCCAGAUUAAGAACAUAGGAGAACCAUAAUUUGUUUGAAAUGCUUGUGUAGACUCCCGUUGGAUCUUCAGACAUCACUUCUGACAUCCUGAGAUCUGAAAUGCUGAGUUGCAGACAAAACCUGCUCACAAUAAGCUAAUGAAAAACUUGUUGAAUCCAAUGGAAGAGGAUUGCUACACAGCUCCAAAGAUAAGUGUAGGGAAAAGUGAAGGGAAAACUUCUUCACCAUGCAGUUGAUCAGAGAUGUAGUUAAUCACAUAGGCAUAUUUUCUUUGCUUAUCUGCUGGUAUAUGUGUGUGUUAUCAGCCGUGAAAUUGGUUACAGCACUGGAAACAACCACUUUCAGAACAGGCUUUGUAUCCUUGCUCUCUCCGCAGGAAUUUUGAAAAUACUUCUUACCUGACUGCUGGCAGGAUAUUUGUAAUACUUUGCUGGCACAUCAAUAACAAUACACAUAAAAAGAGUUUCAGAAUUGUACACCAAAUUUUGCCCUUCACUAUACUAAUGUUAAUACAGAGAAAAGCUACUGCAUUUCUACUUGUGUAACCAAAAGCAGAGUUUUGCCUUAAGCAACAUGAGUGCAAAUGGCAAGGUAUUAAAAACACAGAUGUAGAGAGAGAGGUCCAUGUGUGGAAAUGGUUUAUAUUAAGAGGCAGUUGCUGAAGCAUAUGAGAGUUUUAGCCAUGCAAGGACCAUUUGGCCCAAUAUUUUUCUUUGUGAGUAGUAGUUUUAAAGAAAUCUAUCAUAAAGAUAAUUUGUUCUGCCUACCUAUAAGCGCUUCAGAUCACUCCCCCUCUCCUUGCACCCUUUUAUAUUUUUCCAGACUGAUGCUGGACCAGACCUGAAAUCUUGGUUGUCCGUAUACACAGUUGGGGUUAACAGUGCAGCCCUUAUUUUUUCACAUCAUCAGGGAAUCAUUUCUGGUGAAUCAGAAUGUUGUCACUUGUGACAAAUGGCUGCAUAGAAUGCAUAAACCUUUUAUUUUCCCUGCAUAUUAAAGGCCUGCUAAAUUCUCUGCACAAAAUCUCAAUGUUUCAUUGUAACACAUGCAGAAAUUUCUGAGGAGAAAGGUUUAGUAAAAUACAAAUUCAGGUCUCUUCAUGUUGAAUAAAGAUGAUAGAAAAUAUUAAGCA